CAAGGAAGAAAUGUUUUUGGCUGUAAAGCAGCCAUCUUCAGCUUAUAUUCUGUAAAUUCAAAUUUGUUCUUUUUUUAAGAACAUUCUAAACCAUAAAAAAUAUAUAGUUCAAAUAUAAAAAAUUAAAUCAGCUAUAACAAUAAUAGAAUGUAGGGUUCUAUCUUACUUGAAGAGGAAGAUAGAACAUUGGAUGAGGUGCACUCUAGUUUUCAGAAGAAAUCUUGUGAUAUUUAAUACUUUAAGGAAUGAUACUGUUAUGGCAAGGAUUAUGGUACAGGAGUAUAUUCUAUACCUGCCAUUAAUUGGGCAUCUAUAUGAAGAAUAUGUAGGAAAAACUAUUAGAAAUUUAAGGGAGAGAAUAAAGGAACAUAAAGUAGUUAUAUGUCUAGAUAAAGUUACUAAAGCUCUUAUGAUAAAAUCAUAUAAGUACAACCUUGAGAUAGAAUGGCAUAACAGCCAUGAAUCAUAGACAGCAGUGGCUCUGGAGAUUCUAAAAAAAACCAAGAACAUGAUCAAUGAUAGUCUUCCAGAAGAUUUAGCAUAGUUUUAGCUUUGGUGCCUAUAGUGGAAACGAAUACUUCCCUUAAGAUAAAACUUAAACUUACA
This 606-nucleotide long non-coding RNA is filed under the name Androctonus crassicauda. Lineage: Eukaryota; Metazoa; Arthropoda; Arachnida; Scorpiones; Buthidae. The record is from RNAcentral.